RNAcentral lists this ribosomal RNA (812 nucleotides) under uncultured bacterium. RNAcentral describes it as "bacterial SSU rRNA". It matches the Rfam family "Bacterial small subunit ribosomal RNA", at positions 61 to 863 of the family's 1533-position model. The record is from RNAcentral.
GUCGAGGGGCAGCAUGAUUUGUAGCAAUACAGAUUGAUGGCGACCGGCGCACGGGUGAGUAACGCGUAUGCAACUUACCUAUCAGAGGGGGAUAGCCCGGCGAAAGUCGGAUUAAUACCCCAUAAAACAGGGGUCCCGCAUGGGAAUAUUUGUUAAAGAUUCAUCGCUGAUAGAUAGGCAUGCGUUCCAUUAGGCAGUUGGCGGGGUAACGGCCCACCAAACCGACGAUGGAUAGGGGUUCUGAGAGGAAGGUCCCCCACAUUGGUACUGAGACACGGACCAAACUCCUACGGGAGGCAGCAGCGAGGAAUAUUGGUCAAUGGCCGAGAGGCUGAACCAGCCAAGUCGCGUGAAGGAAGAAGGAUCUAUGGUUUGUAAACUUCUUUUAUAGGGGAAUAAAGUGGAGGACGUGUCCUUUUUUUGUAUGUACCCUAUGAAUAAGCAUCGGCUAACUCCGUGCCAGCAGCCGCGGUAAUACGGAGGAUGCGAGCGUUAUCCGGAUUUAUUGGGUUUAAAGGGUGCGUAGGUGGUGAUUUAAGUCAGCGGUGAAAGUUUGUGGCUCAACCAUAAAAUUGCCGUUGAAACUGGGUUACUUGAGUGUGUUUGAGGUAGGCGGAACGCGUGGUGUAGCGGUGAAAUGCAUAGAUAUCACGCAGAACUCCGAUUGCGAAGGCAGCUUACUAAACCAUAACUGACACUGAAGCACGAAAGCGUGGGGAUCAAACAGGAUUAGAUACCCUGGUAGUCCACGCAGUAAACGAUGAUUACUAGGAGUUUGCGAUACAAUGUAAGCUCUACAGCGAAAGCGUUAA